Molecule: long non-coding RNA, 198 nt
Organism: Silurus meridionalis
Lineage: Eukaryota; Metazoa; Chordata; Actinopteri; Siluriformes; Siluridae
Exons: 3
Source: RefSeq, a predicted model, not a curated record
GAAGAACCGUACCGAAACUGUACCGAACCAUGACUUAAAAACCAAGAUUAGGCUACUCCUCAAAUUCUUAUUAAGCAAAAGUUGGAAGUGGGUGGAAAGGAAACGUCUACUUGGUGUUUAUACAUUACAGAUGGCACAGAAGGCUCUUCUCAACCUGCUCCCUACUUUCACCACAAAUCACAAUAUCAUCUGCAAACA